UAGGAUUCCCUUAGUAAUGGCGAAUGAACAGGGAUGAGCUCAACAUGGAAAUUGUGGCUUCUGGCUUUGAAUUGUAAUCUCAAGAUGUAUUGCUAAUGGGGGCGUAGAUGUAAGCCGCUUGGAAAAGCGAAUCAUUGAGGGUGAGAAUCCUGUUUGUCAUCUGCAGACCUCCGUGUACGGCAUACUUUCUAAGAGUCACGUUCCUCGGGAUUGGAGCGCAAACUGGGUGGUAAAUUUCAUCUCAAGCUAAAUAUGGGUUCGAAACCGAUAGCAAACAAGUACCAUGAGGGAAAGAUGAAAAGGACUUUGAAAAGAGAGUUAAAAGUGCCUGAACUUGCUGAAAGGAAAGCGGAUGGAACCAGUGUUGCUUGGUGAGAUUGUUGUGUGCUACGGUGAUAUCUCGCUGCAUCAACGCAAGUGGUGCUGUGGUUUCUGAUCUGGACGCACGCGAUGCUUCUUGCCUUGUGUGUCACCGUCGGUUUGGGGGUGAGGACAACUCUUGGGACAUGGUAGUUUGGCCUCGGCUGAGCGAAUGUGCCUUGCAGGACUCACUUUCAAACCGCAAACGUUAAUGUGAGGUUGUGCAGCCUUGUCUUCCUACGUUUCCUGUGCUAGCACAGGUUCACGUGUGUGCGAGUACUGGGCACCUUCCUGACAUUUCUAAUGGUGACUAAAUGGUUCUAUUCGACCCGUCUUGAAACACGGACCAAGGAGUCUAACAUAUAUGCAAGUUCAUGGGUGGUGAAACUUGCGUGCGGAAUGAAAGUGAUUACUGAGAUGCUUGCAUCAGUAGCCGACCGAUCAACUGGGAGAGGUUUGAGCAUGAGCAUAUCUGUUAGGACCCGAAAGAUGGUGAACUAUGCCUGUGAAGGGUGAAGUCUGGGGAAACUCAGAUGGAGGCUCGUAGCGAUACUGACGUGCAAAUCGUUCGUCAUACAUGGGUAUAGGGGCGAAAGACUAAUCGAACCAUCUAGUAGCUGGUUCCCUCCGAAGUUUCCCUCAGGAUAGCUGGAGUUGAACAGUUUUAUCAGGUAAAGCGAAUGAUUAGAGGAAUCGGGGACGUGCUGUCCUCGACCUAUUCUCAAACUUUAAAUGGGUAAGCUCCAGUUGUUACUUAAUUGAACUUCUGGGAUAAAUUACAACUCUAAGUGGGCCAUUUUUGGUAAGCAGAACUGGCGAUGAGGGAUGAACCUAACGUUGGGAUAAGGUGCUUAACUGCUCGCUCAUCAGAUACCACAAAGGGUGUUGGUUCAUUCUAACAGCAGGACGGUGGUCAUGGAAGUCGAAAUCCGCUAAGGAGUGUGUAACAACUCACCUGCCGAAU
RNAcentral lists this ribosomal RNA (1324 nucleotides) under Warnowia sp. BSL-2009a. Its description in RNAcentral is "eukaryotic LSU rRNA". It matches the Rfam family "Eukaryotic large subunit ribosomal RNA", at positions 70 to 1302 of the family's 3401-position model. Lineage: Eukaryota; Dinophyceae; Gymnodiniales; Warnowiaceae. The record is from RNAcentral.